RNAcentral lists this long non-coding RNA (449 nucleotides) under Lathyrus oleraceus (garden pea). RNAcentral's name for it is "Pisum sativum (pea) long non-coding RNA (PSAT_LNC041265)". Lineage: Eukaryota; Viridiplantae; Streptophyta; Magnoliopsida; Fabales; Fabaceae. The record is from RNAcentral.
UGUUAAACCCAUGAAAUUGGAUUGAAUUGUGGGAAUGAUGAAAAAGAUGGUGUUAAACCCAUGAAAUUUGAUUGAAUUUGUGGAAUGAUGAAAAUGUUGAUGCUAAACCCAUGAAACUUGAUUGAAUGGUAGGUAUGAUGAAAAUGUUGAUGUUAAACCCAUGAAAUUUGAUUGAAUUGUGGUAAUGAUAUAAAUGAUGAUGUUAAACCCAUGAAAUUUGAUUGAAUUGUGGGAAUGAUGAAAAAGAUGAUGUUAAACCCAUAAAAUUUGAUUGAAUUAUUUGCAUUAUGAAAAUGUUGUUGUUAAACCCAUGAAAUUUUAUUGAGUGGUAGGCAUGAUGAAAAUGUUGAUGUUAAACCCAUGAAAUUUGAUUGAAUUGUGGGAAAGAUAAAAAUGAUGAUGUUAAACUCAUGAAAUUUGAUUGAAUUAUGGGAAUGAUGAAAAUGAUG